UACGUAGGGGGCGAGCGUUAUCCGGAUUUAUUGGGCGUAAAGCGUGUGUAGGCGGUUUAUUAAGUCUAAGAUCAAAGCCCGAGGCUUAACCUCGGUUCGUCUUAGAAACUGGUAGACUUGAGUGUGGUAGAGGCAAGUGGAAUUUCUAGUGUAGCGGUUAAAUGCGUAGAUAUUAGAAGGAACACCAGUGGCGAAGGCGGCUUGCUGGGCCAUUACUGACGCUGAGACACGAAAGCGUGGGGAGCAAAUAGG
This 252-nucleotide ribosomal RNA is filed under the name uncultured bacterium. RNAcentral describes it as "partial 16S ribosomal RNA". It matches the Rfam family "Bacterial small subunit ribosomal RNA", at positions 524 to 776 of the family's 1533-position model. The record is from RNAcentral.